GACGAACGCUGGCGGCGUGCUUAACACAUGCAAGUCGAACGGAGUGGCGAACGGGUGAGUACCACGUGGGUGAUCUGCCUUGCACUUCGGGAUAAGGUUGGGAAAAUGGGUCUAAUACCGGAUAGUGCAAGAUGAGCUCGCGGCCUAUCAGCUUGUUGGGGGGGUAAUGGCCUACAAAGGCGUCGACGGGUAGCCGCCAUGGGAGGGUGUACGGCCACAUUGGGACUGAGAGACGGCCCAGACUCCUACGGGAGGCAGCAGUGGGGAAUAUUGCACAAUAGGCGGAAGCCUGAUGCAGCGACGCCGCGUGGGGGAUGAAGGCCUUCGGGUUGUAAACUCCUUUCGACAGGGACGCGGUACCUGUAUAAGAAGCACCGGCUAACUCCGUGCCAGCAGCCGCGGUAAUUC
RNAcentral lists this ribosomal RNA (408 nucleotides) under uncultured bacterium. RNAcentral describes it as "partial 16S ribosomal RNA". It matches the Rfam family "Bacterial small subunit ribosomal RNA", at positions 28 to 526 of the family's 1533-position model. The record is from RNAcentral.